This is a long non-coding RNA of Tupaia belangeri chinensis (Chinese tree shrew), 1359 nucleotides long. RefSeq lists it as uncharacterized. The record is from RefSeq and is a predicted model, not a curated record. The transcript has 2 exons. NCBI's taxonomy places the organism in Eukaryota, Metazoa, Chordata, Mammalia, Scandentia, Tupaiidae.
CAGCCCUGGAGGAGAGGCCAGGAGCAGAAUCCAGCUGAGAACCCGCGAGGCCCAGGGAGCCCCCGACCCCAUGCUUCUGCAGCCAGUGUGUGAGCACUGGGCGAGAAAUGGGGUUUCUACAGUCCCUGCUCCCUCACCAGACCUGGGGCCUGCCCCUGCCUGCAUCCCUCCAGAAAUGCAUGGAAGACACACAAAGUGGGGAAAAUCCACGCAGACCCUCCGGAGGGAGGCAGAUGUUAAUCCGAGAAUCGAGAAUCGCACAGAGCGACCCUGGCCACCGAAACUGCCCACGGUUUCCCGACCUUGCCGCUCGUCCGUCUGCUUCCACACGCCGUCCUCGCUACCUGUCCACUCUGCCCUUCAUUCUCUGGUAAGUCCAGCUUGCCCUGUAGACCUGGCCGAGCAGUCCCCUCUGGGGCAGGCCUCUGUCCCCCCCCAUCCCCCAGUCUCCCUCCAUCUGCUAGCCUACGGCCCCGCCCAGCAAGGUGGGCUGUCUGCUCCUCUAAAGUGGGUCCUCAUACCCUGAGGGUACCCCCAGAGGGUCCCCCAGCAUACAGGGUAUCUCCGUCCUCCUACAUGAUCUGAUGGCUCCAGCUAGAUGACUGCAAAUACAUUUAAAACACCUUUUUCCCCCUAAGCGAAAGCAAACAGGGACACCAAUGUGAGAAGAAUAGACACUUGGCAUGCAUCUUUAGGAUGAAAUAUGGAGACUUCAGAGGCAGUCUCGGUCUCGCCGCUCUCUGUCAUGCCCUGAUUCUCCCAGGAGGAUGCAGUCCCUUGCCUCUGCUGACGGGCGACCUGCUAGAGAAGCCUGGGAAGCUCUGGCCUCCGGAAGGCCAUGAUUGAUUUAUUUCUGUCUCCUGCACCAAGCCGGGAGUUCCCAAGGGCAGGAACUAGAUCCGAUUCAUCUGUGGGUCUCCAGUGCCCCAGCAGAGAGCUGAGCACACAACGGAUGCCCUCCGACUAGUAGUAAUGGCAGUAACAGCCCCAUCACAGCCGACACCUAAGAGUGCUAGGGGUGCGCGGGGGCAUCCUAAGUGUUCGACCUACAUAAGCCACGCUCACAACACCCCAUCCUCAUUUUACCAGUGAGGAGCCAGGACAGAGGUUACGGGUCUUCACCAAAGCCACACAGCUAGUGGCUGACAGAGCUACUGUGCGAACUUCGCUGGGUCUGGCGGCGGGGCCCAGCCUCGCAGCACACUGCCCUUUCUAAGUGUUCACUAAAUGAGUGACUAAACGGAUCGCUGCAGUUGCCCACGAUGAUAUUUAAGAAGUCUGUGUAAUAACAACAGAAAUGUACUCUAACUGCAAUAUCAGUGUAAAAAUCAGCAGUGACAUGGUCGAGGUGACUUGACG